GGAGAGGUGGCAGAGCGGUCUAUUGCGGCCGACUGAUAAUCGUCUGAUCGGGCUUAACUCAAUAAUUCUGAUCCGCGGGUUCGAAUCCCGUCCUCUCCG
RNAcentral lists this transfer RNA (99 nucleotides) under Bifidobacterium sp. W8108. RNAcentral's name for it is "tRNA-Ile". It matches the Rfam family "tRNA". Rfam says of the family: Transfer RNA (tRNA) molecules are approximately 80 nucleotides in length. The record is from RNAcentral. Lineage: Bacteria; Bacillati; Actinomycetota; Actinomycetes; Bifidobacteriales; Bifidobacteriaceae. RNAcentral also lists the same sequence under 1 other name.